Molecule: ribosomal RNA, 502 nt
Filed under: uncultured bacterium
Lineage: Bacteria
Description: partial 16S ribosomal RNA
Rfam family: Bacterial small subunit ribosomal RNA
Source: RNAcentral
AUUGAACGCUGGCGGCAGGCUUAACACAUGCAAGUCGAGCGGGGUGAUGGUGCUUGCACUAUCACUUAGCGGCGGACGGGUGAGUAAUGCUUAGGAAUCUGCCUAUUAGUGGGGGACAACAUCUCGAGAGGGAUGCUAAUACCGCAUACGUCCUACGGGAGAAAGCGGGGGAUCUUUAUGACCUUGCGCUAAUAGAUGAGCCUAAGUCGGAUUAGCUAGUUGGUGGGGUAAAGGCCUACCAAGGCGACGAUCUGUAGCGGGUCUGAGAGGAUGAUCCGCCACACUGGGACUGAGACACGGCCCAGACUCCUACGGGAGGCAGCAGUGGGGAAUAUUGGACAAUGGGGGGAACCCUGAUCCAGCCAUGCCGCGUGUGUGAAGAAGGCCUUAUGGUUGUAAAGCACUUUAAGCGAGGAGGAGGCUCUUUUGGUUAAUACCCAAGAUGAGUGGACGUUACUCGCAGAAUAAGCACCGGCUAACUCUGUGCCAGCCGCCGCCGUAA